RNAcentral lists this unclassified non-coding RNA (643 nucleotides) under Hevea brasiliensis (rubber tree). Lineage: Eukaryota; Viridiplantae; Streptophyta; Magnoliopsida; Malpighiales; Euphorbiaceae. The record is from RNAcentral.
UGUGAUACAGCAAGGAGAAUAUGAAUCCUACCAUCGUGACAUGAUAUUUGCAUUUGGCACCUGGGAAUUAGAUCCUAUGGAUCUGGAUAAUCCAUUCCCAAACAAUAAAGUUUCUGUUCAUCUAUGGCAAGGAGAUGAAGAUCGUUUGGUUCCUAUUAAGUUGCAGCGCUACAUUACUCGACAACUUCCCUGGAUUCAUUAUCAUGAGUUACCUGGUUCCGGGCACUUUUUUCCUUUCAUCGAUGGGAUGUCUGAUAAGAUUAUAAAGGCAAUGUUAACUGGAGAGUAGCGACCUUCUGCAUUGUUGAUGGGCUACCUCAGGUCAGAAUUUUUUGGGUGGUCUUCUUUGUUGUCCGAGCUGAGCAUUUGAAAUUUCUGUUACUCAUUUUGUUGUGUAAGAUAAAUUUUGUACUAGUGUCUUAUGAUUGAAUAUGUGGGAUUUAUUUGGAUUUAAAUAUUGGUUGUGCCAACCUGGAAUGGUUGUUUUGAGUGAGUUGGCAAUCGUUGAGCUGUAGAAAGGAUGAACUGACCGAUAUGGAUCCUCAGUUUAUCUGCUGAGUGGUCUGAUAUCAAUAACAAUACAUGCACAAUUUGUGUCCUGCAUGUGAAAUGCUUCUGAUUGAUUAAAUAGUUAGUAGUGCCC